GUUGAAAGGAUUGUAUCAAUAACAGUGAUAAUUUGAGAUACUGUUAAUAUGUUUUCAGAAUUUAGCUUUUGUGACAGGUCAUUUUGCAUCAAGAGUUUCGUUAGACAGCACGUCAUUUUUAUUAUAUCCUACAGGUUGGAUCAUCCUAUAUACAGUAUAAAAGCAGUUCACAUUUUUUAUGUUUAUUGUUCAUUGUAAAAUCUUGAUUCUUCUUUUCAUAUUUAAGCUACGGUUUUUCCAAUUCAAUCAACCUCCAUUUCCAAUAAUUGGUAGAUUAAUUUAAAUAAUGAAGUUGCCUUUUUUCUCAGGUUGGAACGCCAUCCGUCCGCAAGGUGGGAAAUUUAGUUACUAGUACAUUUUCUUGUAUUAAAUCAUGUUCCGGUGGGUUUUUAACUGAAACAUUACAAGAAGCUUUGACGUUCUGCUUGAAUUUAUAAUUCUGUUCAAAUUUUUUUAUUUAUGUAAGUUACCAUUAGGUUGUAGAUUCCCAACUUAGGUGGUUCGUUAUUUGCUACUAGAUGUCAAAUUGUGAAUAUAUUGCUGCUGCAUUAACAACGCAUUUUCUGGUAGUAAUGUGGUGACGUCCUAUGUUGAUAAGGUCUCUUAAACUUGUCAAAAAUACACACGAAACGACAAGUGAGAGAUGCUAAAAUGGAAUUUCAAUUUGUUGUAAAUUUUCGUUCUGUUCCGUUUUCAGUACAGUGUUCACGCUUAUCUUAGUACGAUUUUAGGAAUGAAAUAACGGGAAAUAUAACUGUCAAGGUUAUUUUAACAAAAUGGUUAGGUGAUAUGAUUGCUGGCAGUUGGAAGUAAACGUCUGAAGAUUUCUUUAUAUUUAAUUAUUUUCACAUGUUUCCAAAAUAAAAUUUCUUUUUGUGUUUUGUUUCAUGGGGUCAUGUUUCCCCAUGACUUGUGAUAAACCCGUGUGAGUUCUGCUGAUACUUUGGCUAAAACGUUUUUUGUAUUUAUAUGAUAAAUUAUCAAUAAAACGCAAUUCGAAUAA
Daphnia magna is the source of this 1003-nucleotide long non-coding RNA. RefSeq lists it as uncharacterized. NCBI's taxonomy places the organism in Eukaryota, Metazoa, Arthropoda, Branchiopoda, Diplostraca, Daphniidae. The record is from RefSeq and is a predicted model, not a curated record. The transcript has 2 exons.